Vombatus ursinus (common wombat) is the source of this 679-nucleotide long non-coding RNA. RefSeq lists it as uncharacterized. Lineage: Eukaryota; Metazoa; Chordata; Mammalia; Diprotodontia; Vombatidae. The transcript has 4 exons. The record is from RefSeq and is a predicted model, not a curated record.
CAAAUGCUCAGGAUUCACACCCUGCUGGGAGGCAGGUUAUCAUGUAAAUAAAUUGAAUGGAGUCAAAUGGAGCCACAGUACAAUUUACUUCCAAGAGACCUAAUGAUUCCUGAAUGUCUUUAUUUCGUUACAUGGUAUUUAAGGCAGUCAUACGGUUACUUGUCCAUGUGUUCUGGGCCAAUAACUAUUCAUGGCAGCAGAGUAGGAAGCAGAGCUUCUUUGAUAGACUUUAAUGAAAGAUGAGAAAUGGAAUUCCAUUUUAAUGGAAGAUGAAGCAUGAUACAGUGGAUGGUUUAAUCCCACCUCUGACACUUACCUUCAAUAACCUCAGAGGUGGAAACUCAGAAAGAUUAUGCCCUUGUCCCAGGCCUUCCAACUCAAAAUGAGGUCUACUCGCACCAUAAAGCAAUAGAGCAACACUGAAGAAGCAGUUCUAGAAGCCACGGAAGGGGACACUUCUUUGGAUGCAUUACUGAAUGACCAUUUGUUAGAUAUGCUUUAUCAGAGGUUCCAAUUCAGAUGAGGAAACUGAAGCCCAGGGAGACAAAACCAAUUGAUCAUGGAAAAUGUACAUGGGAAAAAUGUAUCAAAGAUCACUGUUCCUGUUCUUAGAAUGCACUCCAGGGGCGGAGCCAAGAUGGCAGAGGGAAAGCAGUGACUUGCUUGAGCUCUCCCCCAA